Molecule: ribosomal RNA, 499 nt
Filed under: uncultured bacterium
Lineage: Bacteria
Description: bacterial SSU rRNA
Rfam family: Bacterial small subunit ribosomal RNA
Source: RNAcentral
AGAGUUUGAUCAUGGCUCAGGACGAACGCUGGCGGCGUGCUUAACACAUGCAAGUCGAACGGAAAGGCCCGCUUGCGGGUGCUCGAGUGGCGAACGGGUGAGUAACACGUGGGUAACCUGCCCCCUGCUUCGGGAUAACUCCGGGAAACCGGGGCUAAUACCGGAUAUUCAUUGCCUGCCGCAUGGUGGGUGGUGGAAAGUUUUUUCGGCUGGGGAUGGGCCCGCGGCCUAUCAGCUUGUUGGUGGGGUGAUGGCCUACCAAGGCUUCGACGGGUAGCCGGCCUGAGAGGGCGACCGGCCACACUGGGACUGAGACACGGCCCAGACUCCUACGGGAGGCAGCAGUGGGGAAUAUUGCGCAAUGGGCGGAAGCCUGACGCAGCGACGCCGCGUGAGGGAUGACGGCCUUCGGGUUGUAAACCUCUUUCAGCUCCGACGAAUUUGACGGUAGGAGUAGAAGAAGCACCGGCCAACUACGUGCCAGCCGCCGCGGUAAUAC